UACAGAGGUGGCAAGCGUUGUUCGGAAUUACUGGGCGUAAAGGGCGCGUAGGCGGAUAGUUUAGUCAGAGGUGAAAGCCCAGGGCUCAACCUUGGAACUGCCUUUGAUACUGGCUAUCUUGAGUUCGGGAGAGGUGAGUGGAAUGCCGAGUGUAGAGGUGAAAUUCGUAGAUAUUCGGCGGAACACCAGUGGCGAAGGCGACUCACUGGCCCGAUACUGACGCUGAGGCGCGAAAGCGUGGGGAGCAAACAGG
This 253-nucleotide ribosomal RNA is filed under the name uncultured bacterium. Its description in RNAcentral is "partial 16S ribosomal RNA". It matches the Rfam family "Bacterial small subunit ribosomal RNA", at positions 524 to 776 of the family's 1533-position model. The record is from RNAcentral.